Molecule: ribosomal RNA, 498 nt
Filed under: uncultured bacterium
Lineage: Bacteria
Description: partial 16S ribosomal RNA
Rfam family: Bacterial small subunit ribosomal RNA
Source: RNAcentral
GACGAACGCUGGCGGCGUGCCUAAUACAUGCAAGUUGAGCGCUGAAGGUUGGUACUUGUACCAACUGGAUGAGCAGCGAACGGGUGAGUAACGCGUGGGGAAUCUGCCUUUGAGCGGGGGACAACAUUUGGAAACGAAUGCUAAUACCGCAUAAAAACUUUAAACACAAGUUUUAAGUUUGAAAGAUGCAAUUGCAUCACUCAAAGAUGAUCCCGCGUUGUAUUAGCUAGUUGGUGAGGUAAAGGCUCACCAAGGCGAUGAUACAUAGCCGACCUGAGAGGGUGAUCGGCCACAUCGGGACUGAGACACGGCCCAAACUCCUACGGGAGGCAGCAGUAGGGAAUCUUCGGCAAUGGACGAAAGUCUGACCGAGCAACGCCGCGUGAGUGAAGAAGGUUUUCGGAUCGUAAAACUCUGUUGGUAGAGAAGAACGUUGGUGAGAGUGGAAAGCUCAUCAAGUGACGGUAACUACCCAGAAAGGGACGGCUAACUACGUGC